CCUACGUGAGGCAGCAGUGGGGAAUAUUGCGCAAUGGGCGAAAGCCUGACGCAGCGACGCCGCGUGAGGGAUGAAGGUCUUCGGAUCGUAAACCUCUGUCAGCAGGGAAGAACGGUCACUGUGCUCAUAAGCAGUGCAUUGACGGUACCUGCACAGGAAGCACCGGGUAACUCGGGGCCGGCAGCCGCGGUAAUGCGGAGGGUGCGAGAGUUAAUCGGAAUUACGUGGCGUAACGCGCUCGUGGGCGGUAUGUCAAGUCAAGGGGUAAAUCCCCGCGCUCAACGUGGGAACUUGCUUUGAAACUGGCAAACUGGAGUGUGUGAGAGGAUAGUGGAAUUCCAGGGGUAUGCGUGAAA
This 356-nucleotide ribosomal RNA is filed under the name uncultured bacterium. Its description in RNAcentral is "partial 16S ribosomal RNA". It matches the Rfam family "Bacterial small subunit ribosomal RNA", at positions 338 to 686 of the family's 1533-position model. The record is from RNAcentral.